GAUGAACGCUGGCGGCGUGCCUAAUACAUGCAAGUCGAGCGAACAGACGAGGAGCUUGCUCCUUUGACGUUAGCGGCGGACGGGUGAGUAACACGUGGAUAACCUACCUAUCAGACUGGGAUAACUUCGGGAAACCGGAGCUAAUACCGGAUAAUAUAUUGAACCGCAUGGUUCAAUAGUGAAAGACGGUUUUGCUGUCACUUAUCGAUGCAUCCGGGCCGCAUUAGCUAGUUGGUAAGGUAACGGCUUAUCACGGCGACGAUGCGUAGCCGACCUGAGAGGGUGAUCGGCCACACUGGAACGGAGACACGGACCAGACUACUACGGGAGGCAGCAGUAGGGAAUGGUCCGCAAUGGUCGAAAGUCUUACGGAGCAACGCGGCGUGAGUGAUGAAGGUCUUGGGAGCGGAAAGCUCUGUUAUGAGGGAAGAACAAAUGUGUAAGGAAAUAUGGAGGUAUUGACGGUACUGAAUCAGAAAGCAACGGCUAACUACGU
This 496-nucleotide ribosomal RNA is filed under the name uncultured bacterium. Its description in RNAcentral is "partial 16S ribosomal RNA". It matches the Rfam family "Bacterial small subunit ribosomal RNA", at positions 28 to 506 of the family's 1533-position model. The record is from RNAcentral.